AAGACUAUACUUUCAGGGAUCAUUUCUAUAGUUCUUGACUAGGAAAUGUGUUUCGAAAGAGUUGUGUCUCCCAAACCACGAUGAUGAGUGAUAAUGUUCUCCUCUGAGCGUGACUCGGGUAGCGAGCUGUGGUUUAUUCACGGAUAACUAUCAUUGAUGAACGUUCACUGGCUCUUAAUGAGUCUGUGAGGAGGAGUGCAUGGUCAGAGUGGAU
Molecule: small nucleolar RNA, 214 nt
Organism: Sinocyclocheilus anshuiensis
Lineage: Eukaryota; Metazoa; Chordata; Actinopteri; Cypriniformes; Cyprinidae
Source: Ensembl